This 57-nucleotide microRNA precursor is filed under the name Heligmosomoides polygyrus. RNAcentral's name for it is "microRNA hpo-mir-10049 precursor". The record is from miRBase by way of RNAcentral. Lineage: Eukaryota; Metazoa; Nematoda; Chromadorea; Rhabditida; Heligmosomidae.
UGACUGUAGUACAUCGGAAGCUUGAGUAGCCGGAGUUGUCCCUGUACUACGAUCAUC